This is a long non-coding RNA of Mytilus californianus (California mussel), 2491 nucleotides long. RefSeq lists it as uncharacterized. The record is from RefSeq and is a predicted model, not a curated record. The transcript is spliced from 2 exons. NCBI's taxonomy places the organism in Eukaryota, Metazoa, Mollusca, Bivalvia, Mytilida, Mytilidae.
GUUGUUGUGGUUGGUUCAUGUCUGUCAUAUUUGUUUUGUUAUAAAUUAGGCCUUUAGUUUUCUCAAUUAAGCGUUUAAUAUUUUUCAUGUCGGGGCCUUUUAUAGCCCACUAUACGGUAUGGGGUUUUCUCAUUGUUGAAGGCCGUACGGUUGCCUAUAAUUGCUUACAUCCACUUUUUUGAACUUUGGUGGAUAGUUGUUUCAUUGGCAAUCAUACCACAUCUCCCUAUUUUUAUACGUAAAAUUUUACGUUACAAGAGAAAUAUCUAACGCCACAGUGCAAUGAUUGUUGUAUGAUGCUUUUUUUGUAUCAAAAUGUUGAGUCGAAUGUCGCAGAUUUCCGAACAGCGAUAAGGCAUAUUGGUAAUUACCGGAACUUUUCAGUUCCAAGAUUUAGCAAUCGGUAUGAAAAUAUAAACUUACAAUCAAAUCAAACUGCACAAAACAAAGGGACGAUAACUUACAAGUAGACAUGCAAACUUAAAUGUCAACGAUCAAGCUACAGAUAUCACAAUGAAUCGAAAUAAAAGUUAUUAAACCAAAGUAUCGGCAGUUUAGAAUUAUAAAUGUCACAGGUGCUGAAUUGGAAUCAUUCCUUCAGGAGCAACAAAAAUCUAGAUCUACUCUCAAUAUUUUUCAAUCAUUCAUGAAAACAAAACUCAAUGUGAAAGGAAAUGUUUAAGGAAUCCCUCCCUAAGUGUAAGACAUAAUGAUAUGUUUUUUAGUGCAACAAAAGAGAUAGAAAUAAAUGGAACAAUUAAAUAUGAACCAUCGUCGAAUUUAAUUUAGUAAAAUCAAUUAAUCAAAGAUAAUACUGAAAGAAUUUGAAGAAAGCAGGACACAAUACCUUGUAGACCUGAUACAAUGAAAAAAGAUGAUUUCCAUCUUUAAAUACAAGCAAAUACUUUUCAAGGUACCAAUUAUGAAGGUACUUUGGUACAAAAACCUUAGAUUUACACGGUACAAAAUCGAUAUCUAAAAUAUUUUUUUUUAAAUGGAGCUUCUGAAGAACUGGCUUAUGGUAAGAGAUUCAUAGGUCACACUGCAAGGAAAGGGUCAAUUCAGAAACAGAAAGACGCCGGAGUUCAGGUCACUAUAAUAGUUCAAAGAACAGGACAUACAAAUGUGAACAAUUUUAUAUUAUCAUGUUCAAAAACACAUAAUUAAUGGCACUCACAACAAGAAAAACAAAUAAUGCAUGCUAUAAUGUCAACCAGUAAAGAAAUACCAAAUCUGUAGAAACAAUUACUUCAGUAAGUAACAAUAACAUUAACUAUUAGCAAUAAAAUAAUCAGUCUAUUUAUCAUUGACAUGUUGAGCUUGCUUUUAGUAAUUUGUUUUGCAUUCCAUUAACAAUGUAUUCGUUUAUCAAUAUCUCUUGUAAUUAAAAUUAUACAUUUAGUUAGUUUGUAUCGGACUUAUAUGGUUAAUUAAGUUUUUUUAAAGCUAAGAAUUUAAAGGCACCAUAUAUGGCAAAUGAGUAAACUGUUGAUUUUAAUAUUAUGAUUAUCAUAAUCAAAAGAAAAAAAACCCAUUUAUUUAAAUUCUUUUCAAAAGAUGAUUCGAAAUUCCUCGAUACAUAAUGGUGUUAUUUCAAAAAUACAAAUUCACGUUUACAAAAUCGUUCAAGGUAACUUGAAUCAUAAUACAACAAUGAACCCAAGUGUUAUGUUUAUUUAUGUAUUUUCAUACUACUUAAGUCAAGAGACUAUUUUUUGUAAACAUGAUCAAUCCGGUGUGUCAUUUAAAUAGAUAAGAUCUUGUUGGUAAAUUUCCAUGUGACAUGAGUAGUAUAAAUAGACUGUGUUUUACACAGUUGAUUCAGACAUAUAUUUAAACCUUGGAAGUUGUACACAAAAAAAGGAAACAGCCUUAAGCGAGCAUGGAUACUAAAUGUUUGAUGGUGCUUUUUAUGUUCCUGUAUAUUGUGUUUGUUUCUACAAUUGAGGCAGUUCAUUACAUUACCAAACCAUUUCUGUUUAUCGGAUCAUGUUAUGGGAAAGGAAAACGUGUGAUAGGACAAAAUACAGCAGAAAUGGAUUGAAGAAUUUACUUUAUUGGAAGAAAUUAAUAAGGAUUACAUAAUACCAGGAAUGAACAAUUCGUGCUGAGACAAAUCGAAGAUGAAUUAAACAAAGAUGCUCCGAUUCUCGACACUAUUCGAUCCCGUACCGACUUCAUAGUCAACAUUGCACCGGAGAAGAACUGCGAUGACGAUAAGCUUAGAGGAUAAUUCGUCAACGGUUUUAAAGGCUACGAUCGUAAUUUAAGAGAAAUAUUUGACAUAAACUUCGAUGUACAUAAAAGAACAGUAAUACAUUUGCAGCAAAAAAGAUCAUAAAUAAAAACAGCGAUGUAUAAGUGUUGUUAGUUGUUUACAAUAUAUAGCGGUUUUAUUAUAUACAAAUGCGUGGGAAGCUUUAAUGUUAUCUUCUUUGCCAUUUGAUAUUUAGUUUUUAACUUCCUAAUAUAUAACUUAGCUCAAACUGAU